RNAcentral lists this ribosomal RNA (32 nucleotides) under Thaxterogaster vibratilis. RNAcentral's name for it is "Cortinarius vibratilis partial 18S ribosomal RNA". The record is from RNAcentral. Lineage: Eukaryota; Fungi; Basidiomycota; Agaricomycetes; Agaricales; Cortinariaceae.
AGGUCAGUAGGUGACCUGCGGAAGGAUCAUUA